AAAGACUUCAUUUUUAGAUUUCUGUGUCUAACUUUAACCGUUCAUCUUACUUAUUUUUUUUUAUAAUCAAUAUUUUUAUUGCUAUGAGAUGGUAAUAGAUGAAUUAUACUUCAUGCAUGACUAUUUUUUCUUAAUUUAUUCAUAAAAAUUUUGAAUAAGAUGAUCAGUUAAAGUUGGACACGGAAAUCCA
RNAcentral lists this microRNA precursor (190 nucleotides) under Leersia perrieri. RNAcentral describes it as "MIR812 microRNA precursor family". It matches the Rfam family "MIR812 microRNA precursor family". The record is from Rfam by way of RNAcentral. Lineage: Eukaryota; Viridiplantae; Streptophyta; Magnoliopsida; Poales; Poaceae.